This 89-nucleotide transfer RNA is filed under the name Clostridia bacterium. RNAcentral's name for it is "tRNA-Leu". It matches the Rfam family "tRNA". From Rfam's summary of the family: Transfer RNA (tRNA) molecules are approximately 80 nucleotides in length. Their secondary structure includes four short double-helical elements and three loops (D, anti-codon, and T loops). The record is from RNAcentral. Lineage: Bacteria; Bacillati; Bacillota; Clostridia.
GCCGGAGUGGCGGAACUGGCAGACGCCCGGGACUUAAAAUCCCGUGACCUGUAAAGGUCGUACCGGUUCAAGCCCGGUCUCCGGCACCA